AGACCCGAAACCCGGUGAUCUAGCCAUGGGCAGGUUGAAGGUUGGGUAACACUAACUGGAGGACCGAACCGACUAAUGUUGAAAAAUUAGCGGAUGACCUGUGGCUGGGGGUGAAAGGCCAAUCAAACCGGGAGAUAGCUGGUUCUCCCCGAAAGCUAUUUAGGUAGCGCCUCGUGAAUUCAUCUCCGGGGGUAGAGCACUGUUUCGGCUAGGGGGCCAUCCCGGCUUACCAACCCGAUGCAAACUGCGAAUACCGGAGAAUGUUAUCACGGGAGACACACGGCGGGUGCUAACGUCCGUCGUGAAGAGGGAAACAACCCAGACCGCCAGCUAAGGUCCCAAAGUCAUGGUUAAGUGGGAAACGAUGUGGGAAGGCCCAGACAGCCAGGAUGUUGGCUUAGAAGCAGCCAUCAUUUAAAGAAAGCGUAAUAGCUCACUGGUCGAGUCGGCCUGCGCGGAAGAUGUAACGGGGCUAAACCAUGCACCGAAGCUGCGGCAGCGAACGUAUCACCCAAGACAACUUUACGGAGUUGACGAUUGACGGAGCGAAGCGACGUCAAAGCGUUCAUUAAAGUCGAGUUGGCUUAGGGAUACGUUCGUUGGGUAGGGGAGCGUUCUGUAAGCCUGUGAAGGUGUGUCGUGAGGCAUGCUGGAGGUAUCAGAAGUGCGAAUGCUGACAUAAGUAACGAUAAAGCGGGUGAAAAGCCCGCUCGCCGGAAGACCAAGGGUUCCUGUCCAACGUUAAUCGGGGCAGGGUGAGUCGACCCCUAAGGCGAGGCCGAAAGGCGUAGUCGAUGGGAAACGGGUUAAUAUUCCCGUACUUGGUGUUACUGCGAAGGGGGGACGGAGAAGGCUAUGUUGGCCGGGCGACGGUUGUCCCGGUUUAAGCGUGUAGGUGUGUGUUCCAGGUAAAUCCGGUUCACUUUAACACUGAGGCGUGAUGACGAGGCACUACGGUGCUGAAGCAACAAAUGCCCUGCUUCCAGGAAAAGCCUCUAAGCAUCAGGUAACAUCAAAUCGUACCCCAAACCGACACAGGUGGUCAGGUAGAGAAUACCAAGGCGCUUGAGAGAACUCGGGUGAAGGAACUAGGCAAAAUGGUGCCGUAACUUCGGGAGAAGGCACGCUGACACGUAGGUGAAGUGAUUUACUCACGGAGCUGAAGUCAGUCGAAGAUACCAGCUGGCUGCAACUGUUUAUUAAAAACACAGCACUGUGCAAACACGAAAGUGGACGUAUACGGUGUGACGCCUGCCCGGUGCCGGAAGGUUAAUUGAUGGGGUCAGCGCAAGCGAAGCUCCUGAUCGAAGCCCCGGUAAACGGCGGCCGUAACUAUAACGGUCCUAAGGUAGCGAAAUUCCUUGUCGGGUAAGUUCCGACCUGCACGAAUGGCGUAAUGAUGGCCAGGCUGUCUCCACCCGAGACUCAGUGAAAUUGAACUCGCUGUGAAGAUGCAGUGUACCCGCGGCAAGACGGAAAGACCCCGUGAACCUUUACUAUAGCUUGACACUGAACAUUGAGCCUUGAUGUGUAGGAUAGGUGGGAGGCUUUGAAGUGUGGACGCCAGUCUGCAUGGAGCCGACCUUGAAAUACCACCCUUUAAUGUUUGAUGUUCUAACGUGGACCCGUAAUCCGGGUUGCGGACAGUGUCUGGUGGGUAGUUUGACUGGGGCGGUCUCCUCCUAAAGAGUAACGGAGGAGCACGAAGGUUGGCUAAUCCUGGUCGGACAUCAGGAGGUUAGUGCAAUGGCAUAAGCCAGCUUGACUGCGAGCGUGACGGCGCGAGCAGGUGCGAAAGCAGGUCAUAGUGA
Molecule: ribosomal RNA, 1811 nt
Filed under: Salmonella enterica
Lineage: Bacteria; Pseudomonadati; Pseudomonadota; Gammaproteobacteria; Enterobacterales; Enterobacteriaceae
Description: partial 23S ribosomal RNA
Rfam family: Bacterial large subunit ribosomal RNA
Source: RNAcentral